AAUUAAUGAGCUUGAAUAUAAGCAUUUGUUUUGAAAACUUAAUAAAGAAUAAUUAAUUCUAUUAAUUU
RNAcentral lists this transfer RNA (68 nucleotides) under Dahlica ochrostigma. RNAcentral describes it as "tRNA-Ser". Lineage: Eukaryota; Metazoa; Arthropoda; Insecta; Lepidoptera; Psychidae. The record is from RNAcentral.